Molecule: ribosomal RNA, 484 nt
Filed under: uncultured bacterium
Lineage: Bacteria
Description: partial 16S ribosomal RNA
Rfam family: Bacterial small subunit ribosomal RNA
Source: RNAcentral
AUUGAACGCUGGCGGCAGGCCUAACACAUGCAAGUCGAGCGGAUGAAGGGAGCUUGCUCCUGGAUUCAGCGGCGGACGGGUGAGUAAUGCCUAGGAUUCUGCCUGGUAGUGGGGGAUAACGUCCGGAAACGGGCGCUAAUACCGCAUACGUCCUGAGGGAGAAAGUGGGGGAUCUUCGGACCUCACGCUAUCAGAUGAGCCUAGGUCGGAUUAGCUAGUUGGUGGGGUAAAGGCCUACCAAGGCGACGAUCCGUAACUGGUCUGAGAUGAUGAUCAGUCACACUGGAACUGAGACACGGUCCAGACUCCUACGGGAGGCAGCAGUGGGGAAUAUUGGACAAUGGGCGAAAGCCUGAUCCAGCCAUGCCGCGUGUGUGAAGAAGGUCUUCGGAUUGUAAAGCACUUUAAGUUGGGAGGAAGGGCAGUAAGUUAAUACCUUGCUGUUUUGACGUUACCAACAGAAUAAGCACCGGCUAACUUCGUG